CAUGCUACUUGUACUUAUUUAUUCACAUUUUGGUUUAUUCAGGACCAUCUCCUCCUCUUACAUGGGGGUCGAACCCCACAUCAUGACCCCACAUGGGAUCCGACCUCAUGUGAGAGGAUUGGUGGGGUCGAAUAACUCAAAGUGUCAACAAACAAGUACAAAUAACUUAAAUUCUUACUUCUUUCAUAAACGUGUGAUAACAAAGAAUCACUACCUUCUGGAAAACAGGUAACAUGCUUCAUUUGUCAAAUAUUAUUGUAGAAUAUAGUUGUUGCUCUGUCAAAAAAAAAAAAAAAAAUUAUAGUUGAUGACAUAAAUGUAAUCCACCCUGUAUCAUCUAGAAUCAAGUUCAUAAAUUCACCCCAAACCCAAUCAUUAGACUAUUCACCCUCACAAUACAACUAUAAAUAGAUCAGUAAGUCGUGUGAGUUCUUCCCAUCUUCCAUCAAACUUCUUAGUGCCUUCUUUGCAAAGAAAAAUGGGUCUUAAAGGUAAAUUAACAUCCCAAAUGGAGACGAAGGUUGGUGGAGAUGUAUUUCACGAACUCUUUAGGUACAAACCACAACAAUUACCCAAUAUCAGUCCUACUAACAUUCAAGGCUGCGAUUUGCAUGAAGGAGAGUGGGGAAAUGUAGGUUCUGUCUACUUCUGGAGGUACACUCAUGGUAAGCCAACGUUGUUUAGUAUAAAACAUUAGACUAUAUUUUAAAUUGCCCAAUACUAUCUAAUUUACCCUAUUGAACGUUGGAUAAUGUGAUUAUCUGGCUUUUUCUUGUACGAUGUUUGUAAAAUUUGAAAUAAUUGUAGAUGGGAAGCAGGAAGUAGCAAAAGCCGUAAUCGAAAGCAUAGAUGAGGAAAAGAGGUCACUUACAUUUAAGGUCGUCGAGGGUGAUCUGAUGAAGUUGUACAGGGCCUUCAAAGGAGGUUUACAUGUUGAAACUCAUGGUGGCAUUGAUUUGGUGACAUGGAAUCUUGAGUACGAAAAGCUAAAUGAUGAUGUUCAAGAACCACUCUCAUUGUUGAGCUUUUGCAUUAAACUUGCAAAAGAUGUUGAGGCACACCAUCUCAAGGCCACUUGAUAAGGAUAGGGUUCUCUGCUUGCAUGAGUUAUAGAAACUCAUCUAGCCACCUUCGUUUGUGUGUUUUUGUUGUUAUUUUAUGAACAAUAGUUGACCGGUGAAGUUUGUGAUAAAAUAAUAUUGGGUGUUCCUCCUCCAUCUAGUAUGUAUGGGGCACUAUGGCUUUUUCUUGAAUUAAUUGAAAAUUUUAUUUUGUGAGAAUUACAAUAUUGCCUAUUGGUAUUAUAGUUUUCAGUCUCUUAGAAAUUUGGAAUGGAAGAGAUGUAGGUUCAAAUCAACUCGAUCUAGUUAGAUAAAAAGGGUUGAAAUUGUAGAGAAACGAAUAGUAGAGUUUUGCGAACCAUUAAGUGAAAAGAGGCAAUUUAUUUCAACAAUCACCUCCCUAAUGAAAGCAAGCCACUCCUAGAAGUUACCUUGCUCCUCUAACAUCAUUGACACUAUAUACACAUUGGAAAGAUGAUAUCUGCAACUUAAGCCCAAA
Molecule: long non-coding RNA, 1560 nt
Filed under: Olea europaea subsp. europaea
Lineage: Eukaryota; Viridiplantae; Streptophyta; Magnoliopsida; Lamiales; Oleaceae
Source: RNAcentral